RNAcentral lists this ribosomal RNA (926 nucleotides) under uncultured bacterium. RNAcentral describes it as "bacterial SSU rRNA". It matches the Rfam family "Bacterial small subunit ribosomal RNA", at positions 1 to 917 of the family's 1533-position model. RNAcentral also lists the same sequence under 1 other name. The record is from RNAcentral.
UGGAUCCAGACUUUGAUUAUGGCUCAGGAUGAACGCUAGCUACAGGCUUAACACACGCAAGUCGAGGGGAAACGACAUCGAAAGCUUGCUUUUGAUGGGCGUCGACCGGCGCACGGGUGAGUAACGCGUAUCCAACCUGCCCACCACUUGGGGAUAACCUUGCGAAAGUAAGACUAAUACCCAAUGAUAUCUCUAGAAGACAUCUGAAAGAGAUUAAAGAUUUAUCGGUGAUGGAUGGGGAUGCGUCUGAUUAGCUUGUUGGCGGGGUAACGGCCCACCAAGGCAACGAUCAGUAGGGGUUCUGAGAGGAAGGUCCCCCACAUUGGAACUGAGACACGGUCCAAACUCCUACGGGAGGCAGCAGUGAGGAAUAUUGGUCAAUGGACGAGAGUCUGAACCAGCCAAGUAGCGUGCAGGAUGACGGCCCUAUGGGUUGUAAACUGCUUUUAUAAGGGAAUAAAGUGAGUCUCGUGAGACUUUUUGCAUGUACCUUAUGAAUAAGGACCGGCUAAUUCCGUGCCAGCAGCCGCGGUAAUACGGAAGGUCCGGGCGUUAUCCGGAUUUAUUGGGUUUAAAGGGAGCGUAGGCCGGAGAUUAAGCGUGUUGUGAAAUGUAGACGCUCAACGUCUGCACUGCAGCGCGAACUGGUUUCCUUGAGUACGCACAAAGUGGGCGGAAUUCGUGGUGUAGCGGUGAAAUGCUUAGAUAUCACGAAGAACUCCGAUUGCGAAGGCAGCUCACUGGAGCGCAACUGACGCUGAAGCUCGAGAGUGCGGGUAUCGAACAGGAUUAGAUACCCUGGUAGUCCGCACGGUAAACGAUGGAUGCCCGCUGUUGGUCUGAAUAGGUCAGCGGCCAAGCGAAAGCAUUAAGCAUCCCACCUGGGGAGUACGCCGGCAACGGUGCAACUCAAAGGAAUUGACGGA